Molecule: unclassified non-coding RNA, 341 nt
Filed under: soil metagenome
Description: partial contains 5.8S ribosomal RNA, internal transcribed spacer 2, and large subunit ribosomal RNA
Rfam family: 5.8S ribosomal RNA (bases 1-120)
Source: RNAcentral
GAUGAAGAACGCAGCGAAAUGCGAUAAGUAAUGUGAAUUGCAGAAUUCAGUGAAUCAUCGAAUCUUUGAACGCACAUUGCGCCCGCCAGCACUCUGGCGGGCAUGCCUGUUCGAGCGUCAUUUCAACCAUCAAGCCCCCAGGGGCUUGUGUUGGGGCCCUGCGGCUGCCCGCAGGCCCUGAAAACCAGUGGCGGGCUCGCUAGUCACACCGAGCGCAGUAGCACAUCUCGCUCAGGGCGUGCGGCGGGCUCCUGCCGUGAAACCCCCCACUGUAACCCCAAAGGUUGACCUCGGAUCAGGUAGGAAUACCCGCUGAACUUAAGCAUAUCAAAAGCGGAGGA